RNAcentral lists this long non-coding RNA (1058 nucleotides) under Phoenix dactylifera (date palm). RNAcentral's name for it is "long non-coding RNA (PDAC_LNC014472)". The record is from RNAcentral. Lineage: Eukaryota; Viridiplantae; Streptophyta; Magnoliopsida; Arecales; Arecaceae.
UCGGAAUAAAGAAAUCCCGAACCUCACGGACCAGCAAACACGGCGUCGAAGGAUUUCCUGCCAGCCGUGAGCUUCAUCAUCAUCCAUCCCAAGUUCACAUACUCACUCCUCCCAGCCGAGAUCCUCUUGGUUCAUGGAUUGAAUUCCAUCUCUUAGCCGAGAUCCUCCUAACGUCACAGAAUCUUCUUCCGCAUCCCCUGUACGUGAAGAAGCGUCGGAUGAAUCCCCUGCAUCCCGGAACCAAGUUUUCUUAGCAUCCAGCCGAAUCCAAACUCCCAAGCUCAUCAGCUCAUCUUCACAACGUCUGGAAGCUAGCAGCCGUCCGAGAUCCCUGCUCCACGUCCUCGCCAUCCGAGCUCCAAGGAUCAAGCCGACUUCAGCCAACGAAUUCCAGUUCCCAGCUCACCGACUUUCUCGUCCACGGAUUCCUUCACGUCCACGAAUCAAACCAAGUUUUCUCCCAACAUCCGGAUUAGAUCUUCUCAAGUGUAUCUCCCAGCAUCUUCAUCUCCAGCCAUGCUUAUCUCCCACGGAUAGAAUUUCUUCUCAUCCUUAUUCGACCCAUCCUGCUGCCAGCCAGGAUAGCAUCCCGAACAAAUCUCAGCCAAGUCCCAGCGUUCCGUAUCAACUCCCCUGUUCAGCCUCCAUCCUUAUCCCAUCGUCAAAGGAUCAAAAGAUAUCGACUCUAUCCCGCAGCCGUUGAUCCAUCUUUAUCUCAACUUGGAACAGGGGAGAGAGAAGGAGGUAUGCAGUCUAUAAAAGGCUCUUCAUGGAAACCAGAGGGGGAUGCUUGGAAAAAAAGGAUCAGCAAGCUUCUCCCUAUAGCCGAGUUUUCAAGGAAGUCAGAAAGAGGGAGAAGACGGAGCGAAGAAGGAGGUAGCUAUGAUGGGAGUCGGAGUCCUCUGCGCUACUGCUAUCGUCCACAACUAUAUGGAAAGCUGAUCUCCUCUCCAGGGCUGGAUGUAGCCCUAACACAGGGACAUGGGUUUUAUAUUUUAUUCUAUAUUCUUGGGGUUGUAUGAACUUAUUGUUUUCAAUGGAUAUCUUCUUUUGAAUCA